RNAcentral lists this ribosomal RNA (491 nucleotides) under uncultured bacterium. RNAcentral's name for it is "partial 16S ribosomal RNA". It matches the Rfam family "Bacterial small subunit ribosomal RNA", at positions 29 to 507 of the family's 1533-position model. The record is from RNAcentral.
AGUGAACGCUGGCGGUAGGCCUAACACAUGCAAGUCGAACGGCAGCACAGUAAGAGCUUGCUCUUACGGGUGGCGAGUGGCGGACGGGUGAGGAAUACAUCGGAAUCUACUUUUUCGUGGGGGAUAACGUAGGGAAACUUACGCUAAUACCGCAUACGACCUACGGGUGAAAGCAGGGGAUCUUCGGACCUUGCGCGAUUGAAUGAGCCGAUGUCGGAUUAGCUAGUUGGCGGGGUAAAGGCCCACCAAGGCGACGAUCCGUAGCUGGUCUGAGAGGAUGAUCAGCCACACUGGAACUGAGACACGGUCCAGACUCCUACGGGAGGCAGCAGUGGGGAAUAUUGGACAAUGGGCGCAAGCCUGAUCCAGCCAUACCGCGUGGUGAAGAAGGCCUUCGGGUUGUAAAGCCCUUUUGUUGAGAAAGAAAAGCAGCAGGUUAAUACCCCGCUGUUCUGACGGUACCCAAAGAAUAAGCACCGGCUAACUUCGUG